Molecule: transfer RNA, 91 nt
Filed under: Enterovibrio norvegicus
Lineage: Bacteria; Pseudomonadati; Pseudomonadota; Gammaproteobacteria; Vibrionales; Vibrionaceae
Also listed under: 8 other names
Description: tRNA-Ser
Rfam family: tRNA
About the family: Transfer RNA (tRNA) molecules are approximately 80 nucleotides in length.
Source: RNAcentral
GGAGAGAUGGCUGAGUGGUUGAAAGCACCGGUCUUGAAAACCGGCGUGCGUUUAUAGCGCACCUAGGGUUCAAAUCCCUAUCUCUCCGCCA